GGGGAGGGGAAACGGCAGCCUCAACCGCCUGGCAGCGGCGGUUUCUUCUCUUCGUGAAAAUCGUGAUCUCAUCUCUCCGUCCAUGGGCGAAAAAACAGCCAUCACCAGGCCAUUCACGCUUUGUGCUUUUGUUAGCAGAGCCCAGGCAGCCCUGCAGCCCACAUCUAGGGUACAAACGGAACGGCGGCGUUUUCCUUGUAUCAUUUAGAGGAAAUUUUUGAGCUGAACAGUAUUUUUUUUCUCCCUCUCUCUCUCUCUGAAAUAUUGCUGAGAUUUAAAGGAGGACGAAGACAACAGAUUCAUAGCUGGGUCUUGCUGUUUUCCUGACGCUGACCACAGCGGAUCUAGGUGGCUAUUUCGUUGGUGCACAGGCGUUCACAGAGGCAGAGAGGGGAGAAAGUUGUCAAACAGAUUCACAGACUGUCAAAGUGCGGCUUAAACCGAGUUCCUGGGCUCCCUCACUGGCUUCGUCCACUUAAACUUUUAACGUACACAUGUAGAGAGCUGAAACUCCAGGGGUAACAUGGGACAGGUCCUCUUGAUUUAAUGAAAACAGAAGAUCAACUGGACCGGGUAGCAAGAAAUAAGGCUUAAGAAGCACUGGUUUCUCUGCAGAAGACAGCAAGAUGCCCCAGGGAAUGUUUGUGAAAAAGGAUGACUGGAUGGGAAGCAAGCUGAAGAAAAAGAAGGAAAGAAAGAGAGAAAUCAGUAAAUCACCACACAAGAGGUGGAGAAGAGGACUUAUAAAUAUUGUUUCUAUGACAUUUGAAAAUAAAUGUUUUACUCCAUGCUAAUAGUGAAUGUGAUGUCUUCAGUUUGAAGGGCUUUAAGUGAAGCUCAUUAAAACCCACUAUUUUCCA
Molecule: long non-coding RNA, 860 nt
Filed under: Homo sapiens (human)
Lineage: Eukaryota; Metazoa; Chordata; Mammalia; Primates; Hominidae
Description: non-protein coding lnc-CCDC140-1:18
Source: RNAcentral